GUUGAAGUAUGAGAUGAGAUGGAU
Molecule: microRNA, 24 nt
Filed under: Ananas comosus (pineapple)
Lineage: Eukaryota; Viridiplantae; Streptophyta; Magnoliopsida; Poales; Bromeliaceae
Description: microRNA s1082_c135a
Source: RNAcentral